Molecule: ribosomal RNA, 229 nt
Filed under: uncultured bacterium
Lineage: Bacteria
Description: partial 16S ribosomal RNA
Rfam family: Bacterial small subunit ribosomal RNA
Source: RNAcentral
UGCGCAGGCGGGCUAUUAAGUCAGUGGUGAAAUCUCUCGGCUCAACCGAGAAACUGCCAUUGAAACUGAUAGUCUUGAGUAUGGUUGUGGUAGGCGGAAUAUAGCAUGUAGCGGUGAAAUGCUUAGAUAUGCUAUAGAACACCUAUCGCGAAGGCAGCUUACCAAGCCAUUACUGACGCUCAUGCACGAAAGCGUGGGGAGCAAACAGGAUUAGAUACCCUGGUAGUCC